UUGCCUGGUAACUUCCUCCUUCCGCGCUUUGUGUGUGUGUGUGUGUGUGUGUGUGUGUGUGUGUGUUUCUCUGUUCCUUCUCCAUGUGCUUAUUUCCUGUAUUUGCAGCACUGGCUGAAAAUCACAGACUUCUAGACCUUUCAUUUCAAAAGAACACAACAGGAACAGACUUCAGUUUAUAAAUGACAGAUAAUGCAGGAUUAUUCCUGAUUGUUUGCAGCAGUUAAUGAACCUUUGAUGUAGUUUGCAGAACUAGAGCACUGAAUGAGGAUGUGAAAGAGACUGUUUAAUGUGUGGCGCUUUUGUCAGCAAUGGUCCACAAAAGCAACUUCACAUGUUGCCUGGACAGAAGCGACAAAUAUAGUGAUUAAUAUUGUGUAUUUUGCAUUUGAUUUGGAUUGCCAACAUGUGAGAAUGCAUUAAAGUCAACAUGAAAUCAUGCACCACCAUCCCCCACCUGUUGUGACAGACCCCUUAUCUUACUUUCCCAAAGUAAGAGUUUUAUUAUUUUUAUCAUGUCAGAUGAGUAGAACUCAUGUGUAUGACGUGUAUCUGAACAAAUCUAUUCUUAUGUGUGUGUUGAACUUUCACAUGUAACCAGUCUUGAGGAGUAACGGAAUACUUAUAACGGUGUUAUAUAAUCAGGAUACAAAAAAUGUGUAACUGUAAUCUGUUACAGUUACAUAAAAACUCAACAUAUUCAGAUUACAGAUACAUUUGGUAAAAAUUGGGAUUACAAGCAGGAUUACAAUUUUCAAUAUGUAAAAAAAUAAACAAAAGAUCCUCCUGACAUAAAAUGAUAAAGACCGCUUCUUGCUUUAUAAUGGUACAGAUAUGAUCAGAUGCGCGCUGGAGAUCUCUUCUGGUUCUCUCUUGUGAAUCUGCCGCCAUUUACUGUCGCAUGUGUAAAUAACAGCUGUCUCACAUCAACACUGUGCUCUCGAGGCAAACCAAUAAAAGUGCUGUUUCGGGGUCUGUUUCAUGAGUUCGAAUCCAGGGCGUGCUGAGUGACUCCAUCCAGGUCUCCUAAGCAAGUGAUUUUCGUUGUUUUAUCGAAUGGCCACUGGAGAAAUAUUAUAAUUUUUGUGGAAAUUCUGACAUUCUUGUGACUUCAAUGGAGAAAAAGGAAACAACAUUACACUUCAGUGCAAUUUAUACCUUCCAGUUGUGAAGAUGCAGUGUUUUUCCAAGGACACGAUACAUCAUUUAAAGAAGCAUUUAAAGACCGUCUGUCGAUCGUUUUCACGGGAGCAGGAAUAGAAGCUGAGAAACGACCACUCCCCCCAGCGAACGGAUAGUAUUCAGGUUGCAAUCUCGUGAGGGACAGAUGCCAAAAUGUUUCUGAUCCCCCUGCUUCAAGCCAGGACAACGGAUUGACCAUGCAGGGGAUGGGUGCGAAGGCAGUCUAAAGGGGCCAUUUACACCUCACAGCACUACACAAACAAAAAAUAGCUAUAUGGCCUCCUGGUUUAGCGCCGGAACCAAAUUGUGCAACACCAAUAGCUCUAGAACAGGUUCCAUCCAUCUCCCAGACAUGAACAUACAGAGCACACACUUUCAUCACUACACUCUCAUGACAUCUUUACCUGGUACAGACAGUAAAACUAGCCAGGCUCAACCACUACACAUCAUGGGACAAAAUAAUGGCCAAGAUUCCGAAAGUACUAAUCCACUGAAGAUCUGGCCUCCCUCUCACAAACACGACAUUACAAACCUGUUUCCAUUUAACAGUUAUAAUUAUGGCACACAUGACAUUCACUAUUUACAACUUCCCAACAACUUAUUUGAAACACUGUAAUGUACAUGGGACAUGUGCAUGGCUACAGUCACACAUCAAUGAUUUAAUUACUAAUUGCAAGCAAACUUGCCACCGAAAUUUUAACAUUUACACCUACGUAUAAAUAAAAACAAUUGAUUGUUGGUAGCAUGGUUGCAAACCAGAAAGCCCCUGGUUUUCAACACAUUACUAAUAACAAUGCAAAUGUAAUAAGAAGUGGAUGAUAUGAAGUGCAGACACUUCUGUCGAUCCACUACACACUUUGAAAAUAGACAUGCAUCAUCGAUUGUGACUUAGCCAGCAAAUCACACACAUUGGAUAACUUUGAAUUAGCACUGUGAUUAUUAUUAUAUAUGUUUGUAACUGUGAUUCUACAAUCAUAGAAUUAUAAUUAUUACUAUAUGCUUAAUGAUGCAUACCACUGGUGAAAAUACUAGUUAUACUUGUAGUAUGUUUCUUUUAAUUUAUUCAGACCAAGUAUCCACUGUAAUUAUGUAUACUGGUGAUGAAUGUUCAUAUUACCUUUGUUUCCUUGCCAUCUUUUUCUUUAAUCCAUCCAGAUCAUGUUUUCCAAAUUCAAAAUGGGAUCACCUUACUGGAUACAUGACCUUGAAGGGUACUGAGACCUUGUUUACCAGUCGCACAUGUUGUUAUGAAACUCAUAACUAUGUUGUUUGUACAUGUAACACCUUACAACCUUUUUCUCAUAACGACACUAAACUCAUAAAUGUUCAGUCAUUGCAUGGCCAUUCUGAUGCUGUCCAGGUGUCACAUACUCAGUGGUGUGUCGUCAAUGAGAUGAAUUCCUUCACUUAUGGAGGACUGACCUGUCCUGCCAAUCACUCCUUUGCUUGGAGGUAACAGAGGACUUUUCUAUGGGUCAGAUCAACAUCCUAGGGAGGAUACCACUGGACACUGAAGUUUCCCCAUGGUGGGAUGACACACUCUACGAGCACAGCGCACAAGCUGUGGCAGACACAAUGGACUUGGCACAAAGAAUGAUCCUGCAGAUGGAAUACUACCUCAACCAGGCACAGAUAGAUACAAAUCUGGCCAAAAAGACUGCACAGAUCCUCUCCAGUUCCUCUAAACACUCAGCACUGUAUUGCUAUUGCUGUAUUGUACUGCUAUUUCAGAUGCCUCAUCAGAUCCGUACGAACAUCAACCAACACAGCACUGGCCCUCAGCCCACUGCAUCUGCACAUGCUUCAACGACUAAGAUAAACAAUUUUUGACUAAGACCCAGCAGACAUUUUACAAUGACCCCACCUGGACAUUUCUGGAACUGUCCCUGGUGGGGGCCAAGCAGAGGAACUGCAAGACUGGCACAAAAUUGUCUGCAUCACUUCUGGGAAAGUCAAAGAUCUCUGCGAGAACCAACGUAAUAAAACUCUCACACAGAGGAGCAUCUCCACCUGAGAAAACACACCCCACUGAUUAGGGACCAUAAAACUCAAACCACACUCACAUCUGCUCUCUCUCUCACCUCAGGUCACUUUAAGGACACCAGAAAACUAAGUUAUGACUUAUCCUGUUCUGUAAUGUAAAAGGUUUUUUGAACAUACAUGUUUGGUUUCAUUCAAGAGGUCUCGGUGCAACUGGUAAAACAGUCUCAUUCCCUUGCAGCAAAGUCUAAUCACAAGUAAGAUUUAAGAACUUUAACUAUCAGGGGCAUGACCACUCCCAGAUCUCUCACAGAGACCGGAUGCUGUAUGCAGAUUAGGUGCAUUCUUUGUAAACAUCAAACGACCUACUCCUUCACAACUUUCAAAGGUCUACUCACAACUCCCUAAAUUGUAAACCAAAUCCUAAAUAACAUCAAACAUACACAUCUGAAACAACAAUAGAAUCGUUUUGUACUUAAAGAAGGAUGGCAGAGGAGCUCAAAGGCUCUGCAGCCAGAUGACCCACACAGAAAACAUUGUGUGUCGUUUUUUUAAAUCUACCAGGGAAUCUGUAUUCAGAUCUCCCACACAAUUGCUGUGUGUAAUAACUUAAAGGAAUCAAGGUCUCUGUAUCCAGAAGACCCACACAGAAAACAUUGUGUGUAGUUUUCUCUACCAUGUAUGCAAAUCUUAUUUCUUAUGUUUGGUAAAUGUUUAAAUGGAAUGCAACUUUAUUAUGCUUGGUUCACUGAUAGCUUUGAAUUUGAUUUAUUAUUUUAAUUGGAUUGUUUGAAUGUAUUACUAUUACUUGGUAAAAUAAUUUGUUAUAAUGAUUCAUUCUGAAGGAUGGAUUUUCGAUUAGCUGUUAAGAUGUUCGGAUUAGCCAGUUUGUCUGCUUCCUGACCUGGGCUCCAGUUAGUCAAAUACUAUCACUAUUAAGACGAUGAGCCAAAUUACUAGAGAGGAGAGUGGCACCUUCCCUGGAGGGAUGGAGUCCAUCUCUUUUUAGCAGGUCAGGUCUACCCCAAAAACUCUAACAAUUGUCUAUAAAUCCUUUGCUAUUCUUCGGACACCACUCAGACAUCCAGUCGUUCAGUGACUCUAAUCUACUAUAAACCUCGUCACCAUGAUGAGCAGGGAGGGGGCCAGAGCAUAUUACAGUGUCUGACAUCGUUUUUGCAAGUUCACACACCUCUUUAACAUUAUCUCUAGUGAUCUCCGACUGGCAAAGCUGGACAUCGUUAGUGCCGACAUGAAUAACAAUUUUAGAAAAUCUACAUUUAGCAUUAGCCAGCAUUUGUAAAUUUGAUCUGAUGUCAGAUGCUCUGACACUGGAAAUGCAUUUUACACAGCUUUAAAAGGGGCUUAUCCAAUCAGAGUUUAGAAUCUAAAAUGUCAGUUUUAUAAAUAUACAUGCAAAUGACAAACUUAAGUUAGUAGAAGGUUAAAUAUUCAUUAAUCAGUUUUACAAUGUUUUGAAUGAAAUUCUGCACACACACAAAUAAAAAAAAAUAAAUAUUUAUCCAAUUUGUCAAAAUCUGAAACCGUGAGAAAAAUUUUGUUUAUACUUGGCAAGAUAAUUGAAAGGCAGGUUUGGAUUUGUUCGGCAUUGAAUGGUUGUGGUCAAAGCUAAGCGCUCCCUAAAUCCAACAGCUCAAGUGUUCAGUGGGAAAGCUUUUCUUCUAUUGUAUGUAGUAAAUCAGGCUGAAAAUGUUGUAUAGAAGUGUGAAAUGGAUCUUGUAAAUAAUAUGUUAUGUCAAUUUUGUGAAAUAGAGUCAUUUGUUGUUUUCUAUGAAUGAGCAGCCUCUAUUUACCCAUUGUAUAAUGUAUUACCUAUAUGUACAGGUGCAUCUCAAUAAAUUAGAAUGUCGUGGAAAAGUUCAUUUAUUUCAGUAAUUCAACUCAAAUUGUGAAACUCGUGUAUUAAAUAAAUUCAGUGCACACAGAC
Molecule: long non-coding RNA, 5110 nt
Organism: Myxocyprinus asiaticus (Chinese sucker)
Lineage: Eukaryota; Metazoa; Chordata; Actinopteri; Cypriniformes; Catostomidae
Exons: 3
Source: RefSeq, a predicted model, not a curated record